GUGUCAGCCGCCGCGGUAAAACCAGCACCUCAAGUGGUCAGGAGGAUUAUUGGGCCUAAAGCAUCCGUAGCCUGUUCUAUAAGUUUCCGGUUAAAUCCAUUAGCUCAACUAAUGGGCCGCCGAAAAUACUGUAGAACUAGGGAGUGGGAGAGGUAGACGGUAUUCGGUAGGAAGGGGUAAAAUCCUUUGAUCUAUUGAGGACCACCUGUGGCGAAGGCGGUCUACCAGAACACGUUCGACGGUGAGGGAUGAAAGCUGGGGGAGCAAACCGGAUUAGAUACCCGGGUAGUCCCAGCUGUAAACGAUGCAGACUCGGUGAUGCGCUGGCUUGUGGCCAGUGCAGUGCCGCAGGGAAGCCGUUAAGUUUGCCGCCUGGGAAGUACGUACGCAAGUAUGAAACUUAAAGGAAUUGGCGGGGGAGCACCACAAGGGGUGAAGCCUGCGGUUCAAUUGGAGUCAACGCCAGAAAUCUUACCCGAAGAGACAGCAGAAUGAAGGUCAAGCUGGAGACUUUACCAGACAAGCUGAGAAGUGGUGCAUGGCCGUCGCCAGCUCGUGCCGUGAGAUGUCCUGUUAAGUCAGGUAACGAGCGAGAUCCCUGCCUCUAGUUGCCACCAUUACUCUCAGGAGUAGUGGGGCGAAUUAGCGGGACCGCCGCAGUUAAUGCGGAGGAAGGAAGGGGCCACGGCAGGUCAGUAUGCCCUGAAACUUUGGGGCCACACGCGGGCUGCAAUGGUAGUGACAAUGGGUUCCGAAUCCGAAAGGAGGAGGCAAUCCUCAAACGCUACCACAGUUAUGAUUGAGGGCUGUAACUCGCCCUCAUGAAUAUGGAAUCCCUAGUAACUGCGUGUCAUUACCGCGCAGUGAAUACGUCCCUGCUCCUUGCACACACCGCCCGUC
This 900-nucleotide ribosomal RNA is filed under the name uncultured archaeon. RNAcentral's name for it is "bacterial SSU rRNA". It matches the Rfam family "Archaeal small subunit ribosomal RNA", at positions 455 to 1354 of the family's 1478-position model. The record is from RNAcentral.